RNAcentral lists this ribosomal RNA (222 nucleotides) under uncultured bacterium. RNAcentral's name for it is "partial 16S ribosomal RNA". It matches the Rfam family "Bacterial small subunit ribosomal RNA", at positions 1281 to 1500 of the family's 1533-position model. The record is from RNAcentral.
GCCGUUCUCAGUUCGGACUGUAGGCUGCAACUCGCCUACACGAAGCUGGAAUCGCUAGUAAUCGCGGAUCAGCACGCCGCGGUGAAUACGUUCCCGGGCCUUGUACACACCGCCCGUCACACCAUGAGAGUCUGUAACACCCAAAGCCGGUGGGAUAACCUUUAUAGGAGCCAGCCGUCUAAGGUAGGACAGAUGAUUAGGGUGAAGUCGUAACAAGGUAGC